This 460-nucleotide ribosomal RNA is filed under the name uncultured bacterium. Its description in RNAcentral is "partial 16S ribosomal RNA". It matches the Rfam family "Bacterial small subunit ribosomal RNA", at positions 338 to 795 of the family's 1533-position model. The record is from RNAcentral.
GCUACGGGUGGCAGCAGUGAGGAAUAUUGGUCAAUGGGCUUACGCCUGAACCAGCCAAGUCGCGUGAGGGAAGACUGCCCUAUGGGUUGUAAACCUCUUUUGUCAGGGAGCAAUUGGCGCUACGUGUAGCGUUAUCGAGAGUACCUGAAGAAAAAGCAUCGGCUAACUCCGUGCCAGCAGCCGCGGUAAUACGGGGGAUGCGAGCGUUCGCCGUAUUUAUUGGGUUUCAAGGGUGCGUUGGCGGAAUAUCGAGUCAGCGGUAAAACUUCGGGGCUCAAGCCCGUCGUGCCGUGGACAAUGAUGUGCGUGAGUGGGCGAGAGGUAUGCGGAAGGCGUGGUGUAGCGGUGAAAUGCAGAGAUAUCACGCAGAACUCCGAUUGCGAAGGCAGCAUACCGGCGCCCAACUGACGCGGAAGCACGAAAGCGUGGGUAUCGAACAGGAUUAGAUACCCUUGUAGUC